This 253-nucleotide ribosomal RNA is filed under the name uncultured bacterium. Its description in RNAcentral is "partial 16S ribosomal RNA". It matches the Rfam family "Bacterial small subunit ribosomal RNA", at positions 524 to 776 of the family's 1533-position model. The record is from RNAcentral.
UACAGGGGGUGCAACCGUUGCUCGGAAUUAUUGGGCGUAAAGCGCGCGUAGGCGGCCGCUUAAGUCGGAUGUGAAAGCCCCUGGCUCAACUGGGGAAGUGCACCCGAAACUGAGUGGCUUGAGUACUAAAGAGGGUCGCGGAAUUCCCGGUGUAGAGGUGAAAUUCAUAGAUAUCGGGAGGAACACCGGUGGCGAAGGCGGCGACCUGGGUAGAUACUGACGCUGAGGCGCGAAAGCGUGGGGAGCAAACAGG